Molecule: transfer RNA, 57 nt
Filed under: Candidatus Thiodiazotropha sp.
Lineage: Bacteria; Pseudomonadati; Pseudomonadota; Gammaproteobacteria; Chromatiales; Sedimenticolaceae
Description: tRNA-Arg
Rfam family: tRNA
About the family: Transfer RNA (tRNA) molecules are approximately 80 nucleotides in length.
Source: RNAcentral
AGCUCAACGGUCGAGCAGUUGCCUUCUAAGCAUCAGGUUACCGGUUCAAAUCCGGUC